This 452-nucleotide long non-coding RNA is filed under the name Setaria viridis. RNAcentral describes it as "long non-coding RNA (SVIR_LNC010530)". Lineage: Eukaryota; Viridiplantae; Streptophyta; Magnoliopsida; Poales; Poaceae. The record is from RNAcentral.
AGCGAACCCGAAGCGCCAAUACAAUCGCUGAACCAACUCCCUGUGGUUACCAACCUUGCCAGUGCAAGAUCAGCCUGAUCACGAAGAUUGAUUCAUGUCCGCAAUCAAAGAACGAACAAGAAAAAGAGGCGAGCAAUCUAAAUAUCACUCGAAGGUGGAGUUCUGAAUCACACAAGGACAGCGCGUAUUUGCGCGUGUUCGAGAGUAGCUAAAGCUAGAUGUAAAACAAAACUCAAGUCUGAAAAUAAACAUAGACUCUAUCUAAAUAGAGGAGAGGAGGGGGCGCAGCCCCUAGCGGCCAAGAGGGGGCGUGCGACCAGGAGGGGCGCGCGGCAAGGAGGGGGGCGUGCAUGCCCCUGCCACCCAACCCUAGGCGCCCACACAUGGGCCUCCUGUUGGACCAGCUUCUAUUCUUCUGGGCCUUCAUUCUUUAGUAGCAUGACGAAGGUCAA